UACGUAGGUGGCGAGCGUUGUCCGGAUUUACUGGGCGUAAAGAGCGCGCAGGCGGUCGUACAAGUCGCGUGUGAAAGCCCCCGGCUCAACUGGGGAGGGUCACGCGAUACUGUUCGACUCGAAGGCAGGAGAGGGAAGCGGAAUUCCUGGUGGAGCGGUGAAAUGCGCAGAUAUCAGGAGGAACACCGGUGGCGAAGGCGGGUCUCUGGGCCGAUACUGACGCUGAGGAGCGAAAGCGUGGGGAGCGAACAGG
RNAcentral lists this ribosomal RNA (253 nucleotides) under uncultured bacterium. RNAcentral's name for it is "partial 16S ribosomal RNA". It matches the Rfam family "Bacterial small subunit ribosomal RNA", at positions 524 to 776 of the family's 1533-position model. The record is from RNAcentral.